RNAcentral lists this ribosomal RNA (512 nucleotides) under Bacillus amyloliquefaciens. Its description in RNAcentral is "bacterial SSU rRNA". It matches the Rfam family "Bacterial small subunit ribosomal RNA", at positions 34 to 528 of the family's 1533-position model. Lineage: Bacteria; Bacillati; Bacillota; Bacilli; Caryophanales; Bacillaceae. The record is from RNAcentral.
CGCUGGCGGCGUGCCUAAUACAUGCAAGUCGAGCGGACAGAUGGGAGCUUGCUCCCUGAUGUUAGCGGCGGACGGGUGAGUAACACGUGGGUAACCUGCCUGUAAGACUGGGAUAACUCCGGGAAACCGGGGCUAAUACCGGAUGGUUGUUUGAACCGCAUGGUUCAGACAUAAAAGGUGGCUUCGGCUACCACUUACAGAUGGACCCGCGGCGCAUUAGCUAGUUGGUGAGGUAACGGCUCACCAAGGCGACGAUGCGUAGCCGACCUGAGAGGGUGAUCGGCCACACUGGGACUGAGACACGGCCCAGACUCCUACGGGAGGCAGCAGUAGGGAAUCUUCCGCAAUGGACGAAAGUCUGACGGAGCAACGCCGCGUGAGUGAUGAAGGUUUUCGGAUCGUAAAGCUCUGUUGUUAGGGAAGAACAAGUGCCGUUCAAAUAGGGCGGCACCUUGACGGUACCUAACCAGAAAGCCACGGCUAACUACGUGCCAGCAGCCGCGGUAAUACGU